UUGGGUUAAAAACUCUUGAAACUUAUUACAGAACACCCACCCCCUCCGACCGUAGUUACUUGCGCCCGAACAAAUAUCGCUCUAACUUGCAAAGCUGUGAACUGUGAUGGAGUUGGAAGGUUCUAGAAAGCCAUUGCGAGUGCUGGAGUUCUACAGUGGAAUUGGCGGCAUGCGAUAUUCUCUCCUCAAAGCUGACGUCAACGCCACCGUUGUUGAGGCUUUUGACAUAAAUGACCUCGCUAAUGACGUUUAUCAGCACAAUUUCGGUCACCGCCCUUUUCAGGGUAACAUUCAGACUCUGAGUGCCGCUAAUCUUGACGGCUACAAUGCUGAUGCUUGGUUACUUUCUCCUCCUUGUCAGCCAUAUACUCGACAAGGACUCCAGAAAGGUUCUAGUGAUGCGCGGGCAUCAUCAUUUCUUAAAAUUCUGGAACUCAUACCACAGCUAUUGCGGCCUCCAUCAUAUCUUUUUGUGGAAAAUGUAGUAGGAUUUGAGACUUCUGAUACCCAUGCGAUAUUGGUCGAAAUAUUGGAAAAGAAUAGUUUUGUUACACAAGAAUUUAUCUUGAGUCCACUGCAAUUUGGACUGCCAUAUUCUCGGCCUCGUUAUUAUUGCUUGGCCAAAAGGAAACCUUUAUCCUUUGAAGUACCUGAAUUCAACAGUCAGCUUCUUCGGACCCCUGGCCCUUUACUGGGACGGACUGAAAGAACAGUGGAAAAGGAACAGCUGCAGCAGCCAGAGUACUGGGAUGAGCUGCUUCAAGCUUGUCAACCUGUAGAUGAUUUCCUUGCAUUUAAAACUUUUGGUAAUGGGAACAUUGGGAAGGACUCAUCAACUUACUCUUUCCAUGCCAAUGAUUCUGCAAAAUCAGAUAGAAGUGAUGAGGAAAAUAAUGGAUACUUUGUUCCGUCAAGUCUAAUUGAAAGAUGGGGAAGUGCCAUGGAUCACAGAUAUUGUCUAUCCUCAUUCAAAGCGUUGCUGUUGUUUUACAAAAAGCUAUUACAGAUAUGUGAAAGGUACUGGCUCCCUGUUGGCAACUGUCCAGAAAUGGAGAAGGAAACUGAAUAGCUGAAUGCAAAUUUUUGGCAACUCUAAGAAACAUAAGAUAUCAGACAUGCAACCAUGCUUCUGCAUAACAUGGAGGAUAAAUUGAUUGCUGUUCUUCGCAGCCCAUUACAAUAAGUAGUUCCGCAUAAUUUUAUGAGAGUUUUCCUUAUCUUUUAUGCCUCUUUCUGUGUUUAAAUUAAUCCAAGACCCUCACUUGAUCUUUUUGUUUCUGUGAGACCCGUGUGCGUCUUGUUCAUGAUGAUCACAUUGGUUCGUUUUUACCACAAGUUGUGUUUGUUAUGGGGGUUAUCUCUCUUCCCUCCCCCUCAACAGCCAAAUGUUCUUAUAGAUGUUAGAUAUUACAGUAAUAGGAGCAGUUAUGGCACCUAAGGAAGUUCUAGCCGUCAAUGAAGGUCGAUUGAAGACUAUAAGAGACGAGAAUUACAUUAUGUUAAAUACAGCUAAUAAUACUUAUGUGAGGAUGGUCAUUGCUUGCCAAGUGGCAUUUGUGGGGCCCCUAAUAAUGCAUCAUUCAUCUAUCUCUCCCUCUCUCUACAGACCAGCCCAGCAACCCCCCUGCUCACCCUUUCUUUUUCUUUCAUUUUGUUCUUCUUUCUCUCCUGCUCGUAUCACCCCUAUCCCCCCAAUAUCCCCCUCCCAUUAAACCAUGUCACUAGUUUGUAUCUCAGCUGGCUCUUGGUCACUGUUAUCUAUUGGGUCUUCUGUUCUCCUCUAUUAAUUGGGUGGAAAUAAUUAGACGAAUGGAUUAUUAAUUGAAGACAUGAAAAUGGAAGAUGGAUUGACUAUUGUGCCCAAUGAAGCCCAACUAUGUACUCCUCUAGAAACAAAAACCUUACACAAUAACUUAAUUCCAACAAACAAAUGUCAAUUAGAAUGAUCUUUUACUCAGUUAAAAUUUAUUUUCUCUUGUCUAAUUUGUUCCAAAAAUUUGUACAGUCAUCCUUGGAAACAUAUAUGGGAUAAAAAUUCAAAUGUGGUUGACAAGAAACUUGAUAGCAUUUAAUUUGAGUUUACUUGAAUAACCAGGUCCAAGUGGGUAUAACCUCUUUGGACAAAGCAGAAUAAUGUGCCAGGGCCAUCGUGAAUGGUGCUGUGGGGAGAGAUAUGUUGUUGUGCCAGCUUGGUUCAGGGUGACCUACUUGUGGAAGGUUUUCUACCUAGAGGUUGUUUAGUGGAUUUUGAGGUUGUUGUGCCUUACCGGUUCCCUGAACUUCACCUAAAGAUGCUGAUGGAUGAAUGUGUAUGGUAGGGGAUGAUGUGAUACAUGCUUGGGAGUUCAAAGAAAUUGAAGAUGGAUUUCUUCAACCCCAUAUGAACACCAGGAACAAUUAUGGAAAGCAAUAAAAGGAUAGGAGGAUUAAGACAAUUGUUGGGGUAAAAGCACACCUAAGUAUUAAUUACCUAGACAUAUGUAAAUGCAACCAAAAAUCUUAAAUCUAGGAUAGGAAGAAGAAAAAAUUAUUCUAGAAUUGAAAUGCAAUCAAUUAACUAAAAGAAACAAUAAAGGGUAUCUAGGAACUAAUUAGAUUAAUAUUAAUAUUCAAAUAAGAGAUACAAAAGGGAGAAGGAACAUGAACUAGUAACUUGUAGUCUAUGUUACUCGGACUCUUCAAAAAUGGACACGGGUGCGUGUCGGAUCCUCCAAAAGUAGUGCAUUUUUGAAGGAUCCGACACGGGUGCGGCAUCAUUUUUGGAGAGUCCGAACAACAUAGCUUGUAGUAGUUUAAGAGUGGUUCAGUAUGGGACAAAUCCCCAACUCUCCAAGAGUAACCUAAACUCAUCAUCCAAAAUAAACCCCCUUCAAAAAGAAAGACCAGAUCGACAAUAUGCUUAUGUGGAUAUUUAAAGAGUGGAGAACAAGGUCCAAGACAAUUAGAAGCCCAAAAGGAGAAGGAAACCCCAUGUCUUUAGUUAAAAAAUAUUUUAAGUAUUUUUUCUUAGAAGGGGGUUUAUUUUGGAUGAUGAGUUGAGGUUACUCUUUGAGAGUUGGGGAUUUGCUCCAUACCUCCUCUUGGACCUCACUUAAAUUACUACAAGUUAGUAAUUCAUGUAUGAGCUCAUAUCCCUUCUCCCUUUGGAUUGUAUAAUCUUAUUUGAAUGCUAAUCUAAUGCUUGUUCUUCCUUCUCCUUUUGGGUUUCCAAUUGCUUCGGACCUUGUUCUCCACUCUUUAAAUAUCCACAUAUUGUGGAUCUUGAAGUUCUGAAAGAAGCCUCUAAUUUCGUGAUGGCCACCUCGUGUCCAUCAGGGGAUGUUAGGGAGAUGGGGCGAGAAGGGGAAAAAAGAAGAUGAAAAUGAAAGAAAGAGAAGCAGUGGGCGGGAGGGGGGGGGGGGGGGUUGCUGGGUAAUUGGGCUGGUGUGUGCAGAGACAAGGAGAGACAAAUAAUGCAUUUUUUGUGGGCCCCACAAUUUCCGCUUGUCAAACAAUGACGACCCUCUCAAUUAUUAAUAUAUAACACAAAGCAAAGUGUCUCAUGACCCGAGUUCAAAUUCAGCAGAGGUGAAAAAAAUAAUUUCUCCUGAGAUUAAGUCUUUGUGGAUGGAGUUAUCCUGUACAUUUACUAGUGGAAGGACGCGGGUACCCAGUGUAAUAGUCCUGAUAUGCACAAGUUGACCAGGAAAGCAUUGUUGUAACAAAAUUAUUGUGGUCAUUUAUCUACUUGAAAAACAAAUUAUUUUACUUGUAAUUUUUUUUUAUUUGAUAAUUGUAUAAUAUGUACUGCCCUGUUGGUUGGUUCUAGGUUUGCUUAUGAAAGUAAGAUUUCUUUGUGACUUACUUUUGUCUCUAAUACUAAAAUACUGAACUGUUCCUUCACUUGCUGAAGGUUGGUUUCUCUAGUUGCCAAGAUGAAGUCUUGUGAAUCUGAAAGUUUAGCUUUUCUUCUUUGAUUCCCUGAUUAAUCAAAACGUUCCUUCUGUUUUAUUUAGUUUGAUCUGGAUAUUUAUACUUCUGUUGGAUCACUCAUUUUGUUCUCUCCAGUAGUGGUAUUAAUAGUCAUUGUUUCGUCGCUUAAAGCGAUGCGAAACGAGGGGUUAUUGCUUCAUGGAGAAGCCAUGUGCUUUAGAGAAGUGUGCGCUUCAAACAAUGAUGUAAAAGUGAUCUCAGCAAGAAGCAAUCUCAAUUUUGAGGAUUUCAAUUAGUAGCGGCACUAUUGUAUAUCGGAGGCUGAAAUUAGUUAUUAUGAUUGCAGUUUGGCUAUUAUGGAAAAGACAGAGAAUAGAACACCUUC
Molecule: RNA transcript, 4297 nt
Organism: Lycium barbarum (goji berry)
Lineage: Eukaryota; Viridiplantae; Streptophyta; Magnoliopsida; Solanales; Solanaceae
Gene name: tRNA (cytosine(38)-C(5))-methyltransferase 2
Exons: 8
Source: RefSeq, a predicted model, not a curated record